GGGGGCGAAAUAGGAUCGACGUGCCUAAUAAAAAGAUUGCUUUUACUCGGGAUGAUUCCGCCGAUGGCUUUUGCCAUAUGGGUCAAAACAAAGAAACGCAAACGAUAAUAAUCGUUCUGUAGAUUUAGCUCUAGCAGCUUAAUCCUACGCGGCUGGGGGUUUGCCGGGCAACAGAAAAACCCCACA
This 186-nucleotide transfer-messenger RNA is filed under the name Rickettsia akari str. Hartford. RNAcentral describes it as "transfer-messenger RNA Ricke_akari_Hartfo". It matches the Rfam family "Alphaproteobacteria transfer-messenger RNA", at positions 148 to 355 of the family's 355-position model. Rfam says of the family: Bacterial tmRNA, also known as 10Sa RNA or SsrA, is named for its dual tRNA and mRNA-like properties. Its role is to liberate the mRNA from a stalled ribosome. Lineage: Bacteria; Pseudomonadati; Pseudomonadota; Alphaproteobacteria; Rickettsiales; Rickettsiaceae. The record is from RNAcentral.